GACAGAGGUAGAGGUGGUGGUUGUAGAACAUUUAAUCGUGGUAUAAGACGUGGUUUUAGUUUGGGAGCUCCAAUUACCACCAACCCUUCCCCCUCAUCCAUUCACAUAUCAAUCUCAGAGUCGAUGGUUCAUGUUGUUGCACAAACUCCAAACACACUUCCUACAGCUCAAGACCAACCAAAUCCAACCUUUGUAAGGGAGUCAAUUCCCACUACCCCUGUUAGAAAUGUUUCACCUUCAGCACCAGAUGAUUCUGUUACACCUGAGUACCCACCAGAUCCAAAUUGUGAACAUAUUGUUGAUGAAAGGCCUUUCAUUCGUGCAUAUAAAGGAUAGUUUCAACCAACAUAUGGGUGUUCUAAUAUCAUAUCAAAUAUCAUUAGGGCAAAAUUUGAUGAACCAACUCCAAGUUGGUUGAAGGUGUCAGUUGACCUUCGCGAUAGGUGGUUUGGAGAGUUUAAGAGUAUAGGUGGCACCCACAAGAAGAGCGAGUCAUUAGAGCUGUUUUUUAGACAAAAGAUUCACGUAUUUUAAAAAGUGCAAUGAACAAGAUCAGAAAUGGUCAAGAUAAAGGAAAGUGGAUAACAACUAAUGUUCGAGCGGUCUUGGACGAACAUUGGGGUUCUACAAAUUUCCUAAACAAGAGCUCCACUGCCAAGGCGAAUCGAUCUGUUGAUAGAGGAGCCUCAACAUACUAUGGUGGUUCCAUAUCUACUGCAGCUCAC
Long non-coding RNA from Glycine soja, 725 nucleotides. RefSeq lists it as uncharacterized. Lineage: Eukaryota; Viridiplantae; Streptophyta; Magnoliopsida; Fabales; Fabaceae. The record is from RefSeq and is a predicted model, not a curated record. The transcript is spliced from 3 exons.